RNAcentral lists this transfer RNA (91 nucleotides) under Gammaproteobacteria bacterium. RNAcentral describes it as "tRNA-Ser". It matches the Rfam family "tRNA". From Rfam's summary of the family: Transfer RNA (tRNA) molecules are approximately 80 nucleotides in length. Their secondary structure includes four short double-helical elements and three loops (D, anti-codon, and T loops). Further hydrogen bonds mediate the characteristic L-shaped molecular structure. tRNAs have two regions of fundamental functional importance: the anti-codon, which is responsible for specific mRNA codon recognition, and the 3' end, to which the tRNAs corresponding amino acid is attached (by aminoacyl-tRNA synthetases). tRNAs cope with the degeneracy of the genetic code in two manners: having more than one tRNA (with a specific anti-codon) for a particular amino acid; and 'wobble' base-pairing, i.e. permitting non-standard base-pairing at the 3rd anti-codon position. The record is from RNAcentral. Lineage: Bacteria; Pseudomonadati; Pseudomonadota; Gammaproteobacteria.
GGAGAGGUGGCUGAGUGGUUGAAAGCGGCGGUCUUGAAAACCGUUGAGGGUUUGUAGCCCUCCGUGGGUUCGAAUCCCACCCUCUCCGCCA